Molecule: unclassified non-coding RNA, 213 nt
Filed under: Glomeromycetes sp.
Lineage: Eukaryota; Fungi; Glomeromycota; Glomeromycetes
Description: partial contains 5.8S ribosomal RNA and internal transcribed spacer 2
Rfam family: 5.8S ribosomal RNA (bases 1-71)
Source: RNAcentral
GUGAAUCAUCAAAUUUUUGAACGCAUAUUGCACUCUCUGGUAUUCCGGAGAGUAUGCCUAUUUGAGGGUCAUUUAAAAUAAUCUUUAUUCCAAUUUUUCGCGGAAUUUAAAAUGGGUUGCCCAUUUUUUGUGGUAGCCUAAAAUCAAAGACAAACUCUUAUUUUUGGGUUGAGUGGUAAUUUUAUUUAUUUCGGGAAUUAUCAAUGAAUCAUC